AAAUGAGACCACUCUGACCAUUUUACUCGCCCUAGCAGAGCUGGUUAGGCAGUUUUUGUGUUAAUCAGAGCAUUGGUGACUGUAACUGUGCUGCUGGAAACAAUUUAAUUACGCUUUUUUGCCGACUUUUACUGACACUGGCCAUAUUCAAUGGGUAUUGAUCACUAGUAAUUACUUAUUCUGUGCUCUGGUACACUCAGAGAGAGUGCUCUGAAAUCGGACAAGCUAGCCAGAGCGAAUUUACGAAAGCACCCGAAUGUCUAUUGAGAACGCACAAAAACUAUACCAUUUAGCUAAACUAAGAAUUACGGGAAUAAUCAAUUCAAUAAACGUUGGGCAGUUAGAUAGCCUAUAGUUAUUAUACUUGGCCAGGUCGCAAUUGUAAAUGAGAACUUGUUCUCAACUUGCCUACCUGGUUAAAUAAAGGUGAAAUAAAUAAAAUAAAUAAAAUACUGUCAAGUUUAAUGUACAGUAUAACUACUAAAGUUAGGUAGAUAGCUAACGUACCGGUACAUACUGCUGUAAUGAUAUGCUAUGUGGUUAGUAAGGACAGCGUAGCUAACAAAUUGUCAGCCAACAUAACGUUAUUUGAAAAGUUAUUACUUUAUUACAUUGAGUAGCAAGCUACCAUGAGGACACGCUCCAUUGACUCUGCGGCUUGAGCAUGCUUUUGGUGCACAGUCAAUAGCGCGCUGGAUUUCAGGCAAGAAGGUUGGUGGUUCGAAACCUGCUCCCCCUGCUUGUUUCAUUUGAAGUUUAUUUGAAAUGAUCAGUUUAUUAUUUGGUUUAUAGUGCCCAUUCUUUGUCAGUUAGAGACACGGUAGUGCAUUGGGACCUAAAAGCAUAAUCACUUCUCUAACUCCCCCUGUUCGUUAGGGCAAAUCUGGUCUGUGAUAGGAUUUUUUUUUACACACCUAUCUCAGCUAUUAGACUAUUCUUUAGUAAAGGUUGAAUAGUCUAUUGUUCAGCUAUUAGGCCACCUCCCCAACUUGCAACAAAUGGAUAUAUCGAGAGCAAAACUUUUUUAUUUAAAAUCAAAAAUAAUAGUUCUGAAAGCAAAAACGAGGCUUCAAAGUAAAACAAAUAUUUUGCAAUCAAAUAUGUUGUAAUAGAGCGCAAAACUUUAUGCUUUUUAUUCCCCAAAAAUAUAUUGAGAACAAAAAAUGUAUUUGAAAACAAAACUCCAAUUUAAUUUCACUAUCAACCACCCUCCAUGUUGGCCAUUUUUGAGUGUCGGUUUGGCUACAACCAAUACUGUUUCUUUCCAACACAAAGGAUGUCAUAGCGGACACUUAUGAAGAAGGACUGUGUGAUGAUGGCAUCUUAGAUACAACAUUGUCAUCUUUGGCGGUAUAGAUGGAUUUUCAAGGAAGAGUGAGAGCUAAUGAAGGGGUCGAAAAUGUAGAUAUUGCCAGAUGUUCACUGUCCGAGGAACAGGCCAUGGAAGCUUUAUUGCUGGCAAAAGUGUCCAUAACCAGAGGUUAAUAUCAGCUGUGUUGGUGAACCCCUCCCGCAUCUGAACUGGCUGACACAGAGGGCACAGUGUGAUCAUAGAUGAACAAUCGAGAGCAUCCUAUUGGGCUGUAUCUCCGACUGGUAUGAAAACUGCUCCGCCCACAACCGUAAGGCUCUCCAGAGGGUAGUGAGGUCUGCACAACGCAUCAUCGGGGGCAAACUACCUGCCCUUCAGGACACCUACACCACCCGAUGUCACAGGAAGGCAAAAAGAUCAUCAAGGACAACAACCACCUGAGCCUGUUCACCCCGCUAUCAUCCAGAAUGCGAGGUCACUACAGGUGCAUCAAAGCUGGGACUAAGAGACUGAAAAACAGCUUCUAUCUCAAGCCCAUCAGACUGUUAAACAGCCAUCACUAACAUUGGGUGGCUGCUGCCAACAUACUGACUCAAAUCUCUAACCACUUUAAUAAUUACAAAUUGGAUGUAAUAAAUGGAUCACUAGUCACUUUAAACAAUGCCACUUUAUUUAAUGUUUACAUACCCUACAUUACUCAUCUCAUAUGCAUACACUGUACUCUAUACCAUCUACUGCAUCUUGCCUAUGCCGCAUGGCCAUCGCUCAUCCAUAUAUUUAUAUGUACAUAUUCUUAUUAAUUCCUUUACACUUGUGUGUAUAAGGUAGUUGUUUUGAAAUUGUUAGAUUACUUGUUAGAUAUUACUGCACGGUCGGAGCUAGAAGCAAAAGCAUUUUGCUACACUCACAUUAACAUCUGCUAACCAUGUGUAUGUGACCAAUCAAAUUUGCUUUGAUUUGAUUUGAUAUAAUAUUACAAUUAUCGUAAUUACAAUGCAUGCUCU
RNAcentral lists this long non-coding RNA (2316 nucleotides) under Salmo salar (Atlantic salmon). RNAcentral's name for it is "lncRNA (ENSSSAG00000100711.1)". Lineage: Eukaryota; Metazoa; Chordata; Actinopteri; Salmoniformes; Salmonidae. The record is from RNAcentral.